GAUGAACGCUGGCGGCGUGCCUAAUACAUGCAAGUCGAGCGAACGGACGAGAAGCUUGCUUCUCUGAUGUUAGCGGCGGACGGGUGAGUAACACGUGGAUAACCUACCUAUAAGACUGGGAUAACUUCGGGAAACCGUAGCUAAUACCGGAUAAUAUUUUGAACCGCAUGGUUCAAAAGUGAAAGACGGUCUUGCUGUCACUUAUAGAUGGAUCCGCGCUGCAUUAGCUAGUUGGUAAGGUAACGGCUUACCAAGGCAACGAUGCAUAGCCGACCUGAGAGGGUGAUCGGCCACACUGGAACUGAGACACGGUCCAGACUCCUACGGGAGGAAGCAGUAGGGAAUCUUCCGCAAUGGGCGAAAGCCUGACGGAGCAACGCCGCGUGAGUGAUGAAGGUCUUCGGAUCGUAAAACUCUGUUAUUAGGGAAGAACAUAUGUGUAAGUAACUGUGCACAUCUUGACGGUACCUAAUCAGAAAGCCACGGCUAACUACGUG
This 497-nucleotide ribosomal RNA is filed under the name uncultured bacterium. RNAcentral's name for it is "partial 16S ribosomal RNA". It matches the Rfam family "Bacterial small subunit ribosomal RNA", at positions 28 to 507 of the family's 1533-position model. The record is from RNAcentral.